RNAcentral lists this ribosomal RNA (492 nucleotides) under uncultured bacterium. RNAcentral's name for it is "partial 16S ribosomal RNA". It matches the Rfam family "Bacterial small subunit ribosomal RNA", at positions 29 to 507 of the family's 1533-position model. The record is from RNAcentral.
AGUGAACGCUGGCGGUAGGCCUAACACAUGCAAGUCGAACGGCAGCACAGUAAGAGCUUGCUCUUACGGGUGGCGAGUGGCGGACGGGUGAGGAAUACAUCGGAAUCUACUUUUUCGUGGGGGAUAACGUAGGGAAACUUACGCUAACACCGCAUACGACCUACGGGUGAAAGCAGGGGAUCUUCGGACCUUGCGCGAUUGAAUGAGCCGAAGUCGGAUUAGCUAGUUGGCGGGGUAAAGGCCCACCAAGGCGACGAUCCGUAGCUGGUCUGAGAGGAUGAUCAGCCACACUGGAACUGAGACACGGUCCAGACUCCUACGGGAGGCAGCAGUGGGGAAUAUUGGACAAUGGGCGCAAGCCUGAUCCAGCCAUACCGCGUGGGUGAAGAAGGCCUUCGGGUUGUAAAGCCCUUUUGUUGGGAAAGAAAAGCAGCAGGUUAAUACCCCGCUGUUCUGACGGUACCCAAAGAAUAAGCACCGGCUAACUUCGUG